This 369-nucleotide transfer-messenger RNA is filed under the name Bacteriovoracales bacterium. It matches the Rfam family "transfer-messenger RNA". Rfam says of the family: Bacterial tmRNA, also known as 10Sa RNA or SsrA, is named for its dual tRNA and mRNA-like properties. Its role is to liberate the mRNA from a stalled ribosome. To accomplish this part of the tmRNA is used as a reading frame that ends in a translation stop signal. The record is from RNAcentral. Lineage: Bacteria; Pseudomonadati; Bdellovibrionota; Bacteriovoracia; Bacteriovoracales.
GGGGGUGUCCUGGCUUCGACAGGGCCCACGAAAACUAUCGGGCGUGCUUGGGUUGAUCGCCCGGCCCAAUAAAAAGGCGAUCAAAUUUUAAUUGGCGAACAAAACUUCGCUAUGGCCGCCUAGCCCUAAGGGCUACACAGCCAUUGAGGGGCCUGCACCGAUAACAAAAAGCAGGUAAAGAGUUUUCGGUCGGUGACUCGAUAAAGAAACUGACCCAAGAUUUGCCGGGAUUUCUUGUCAAAAAACACCGGGAUUUGCUUCUUUGACAAAAGAAGAAUAGGUUCCAAGGCCUACUCCUUGGAGACGCACGUAAUUCCCGUAGAUUGGAAGGGGUCUUGGAAGUGGGUUCAAUUCCCACCACCUCCACCA